RNAcentral lists this ribosomal RNA (360 nucleotides) under uncultured Sphingobacteriales bacterium. RNAcentral describes it as "bacterial SSU rRNA". It matches the Rfam family "Bacterial small subunit ribosomal RNA", at positions 1023 to 1382 of the family's 1533-position model. Lineage: Bacteria; Pseudomonadati; Bacteroidota; Sphingobacteriia; Sphingobacteriales. The record is from RNAcentral.
CGGACAAUAUACAAGGUGCUGCAUGGUUGUCGUCAGCUCGUGCCGUGAGGUGUCGGGUUAAGUCCCAUAACGAGCGCAACCCCUAUCAUUAGUUGCCAUCAGGUCAAGCUGGGGACUCUAAUGAAACUGCCUACGCAAGUAGUGAGGAAGGUGGGGAUGACGUCAAAUCAGCACGGCCCUUACGUCCAGGGCUACACACGUGCUACAAUGGCCGGUACAGAGGGCAGCUACCUGGUGACAGGAUGCAAAUCUCCAAAGUCGGUCUCAGUUCGGAUCGGAGUCUGCAACCCGACUCCGUGAAGUUGGAUUCGCUAGUAAUCGCGCAUCAGCCAUGGCGCGGUGAAUACGUUCCCGGGCCUU